This 253-nucleotide ribosomal RNA is filed under the name uncultured bacterium. RNAcentral's name for it is "partial 16S ribosomal RNA". It matches the Rfam family "Bacterial small subunit ribosomal RNA", at positions 524 to 776 of the family's 1533-position model. The record is from RNAcentral.
UACGAAGGGGGCUAGCGUUGCUCGGAAUCACUGGGCGUAAAGGGCGCGUAGGCGGCUUAUCAAGUCGGGGGUGAAAGCCCGUGGCUCAACCACGGAAUGGCCUUCGAUACUGGUAGGCUUGAGACCGGAAGAGGACAGCGGAACUGCGAGUGUAGAGGUGAAAUUCGUAGAUAUUCGCAAGAACACCAGUGGCGAAGGCGGCUCACUGGCCCGGUACUGACGCUGAGGUGCGAAAGCGUGGGGAGCAAACAGG